GGCUCUUUGUUUACUAUAAAGAGUUAGACCUGCCCAGUGACUAAGUCAUUAAACGGCCGCGGUACACUGACCGUGCAAAGGUAGCAUAAUCAUUUGCCUUUUAAUUGGAGGCUGGUAUGAAUGGUUAGACGGGAAGUUAACUGUCUCUACAAAAGAAAGAGAAUUUAAAUUUUAGGUUAAAAUGCCUAGAUGAUAUUAAAAGACGAGAAGACCCUAGCGAGCUUUAUUUUUAACACUAACUAAAGUAGUUGUUCAAACUUUUGUUGGGGCGACUGAGGAAACUGGAGCUUCCUUUCAAUAAGAAAAAUAAUAAUUUAGGAUCCAGCCUUUGCUGAAAAACAGGUGAGCUACCGUAGGGAUAACAGCGUAAUUUCUUUAGAGAGUUCUUAUCGAAAAAGAGGUUUGCGACCUCGAUGUUGGACUAGGAUAUCCUAGAGGUGUAGAAGCUUCUGAGGGUUGGUCUGUUCGACCAUUAAAAUCCU
This 482-nucleotide ribosomal RNA is filed under the name Dendropoma petraeum. RNAcentral's name for it is "partial 16S ribosomal RNA". It matches the Rfam family "Bacterial large subunit ribosomal RNA", at positions 1817 to 2597 of the family's 2925-position model. Lineage: Eukaryota; Metazoa; Mollusca; Gastropoda; Littorinimorpha; Vermetidae. The record is from RNAcentral.